Long non-coding RNA from Clupea harengus (Atlantic herring), 985 nucleotides. The record is from Ensembl. Lineage: Eukaryota; Metazoa; Chordata; Actinopteri; Clupeiformes; Clupeidae.
CUAACCCAAACAUCUGUCCUGUGCUCCAAGCACUUCACAGAGGACUGCUUUGAUCACUCAGGAGAGAGUGUAUCUUUCAAACCCGAUGCAGUCCCCACUGUGGCAAUGGCAUCAGACAUUCAACAGGAGAGCAAUGAAGAUGAUGCUGACCCUUCCCAAGACCUGACAGAAGAUCAUAUAGAGCAUCCGUAUGCGAUGGAUUCAGAGAGGGCGGAGAUGAGGGGUUUGGGGGAAAAUGACCCAAACAGCAGGAAGGAUCUUGCUUUCUCUAGGUAUGAUGAAGUGGAGAGGUUCUUGAGGACAGGGACAUUUUCAAAGGAGUUGAUGCAGGACAUGAGACACUAUGUCAGAAGAGCCUCAAAGCACUACUGUCUGGAAGGUGAUGUUCUGUACUACUGCAGAGGAACUGGACUCCGAAGAGUGCUUCGAAGUCGAGCGCAUGUCAAUACGGUGUUGAGGGAACAUCACGAUAACCAAGGUCAUUACGGCACACAACGAUGCAUAAGCAACAUCACUGAGAAGUUCUACUGGGGAUCACUGAAAAGGGACACUGAACUGUGGGUUGGCAACUGUCAACUCUGCCUGAAUAUGGAUGAAACAUCCCAGAAUUUCCACUGCUCUGUGAAGGGCUGCAACACUCAAAAUGGGCCGGUGGAGAGAAGUCUGGGCCUGACCUUUCAUCGGUUUCCUUUCGAUGACCCCGAGAGGCUCAGCCAGUGGAUCAAAAACACACACAGAAGCAUGUGGUCUCCACCCACUAGAUCAGUGGUCUGCUCCAAUCAUUUCACUGAAGACUGCUUUGAGCUUGUAGGCAGGGAAAAGCUGCUAAAGUGUCAUGCUGUUCCCACCUUGUUACUUGGCCAUUCUCGUAUAGAGGGAGCACAGGGCUCAGAUGCGGAAAAUAACUUGGAAAAUGCUCAGUGCACCUUUUUCUCAAAAUAUGACGCUGUGCACAAAUACUUGAGCGAAGGCGCCUAUCCUCAAG